This 90-nucleotide non-coding RNA is filed under the name unclassified sequences. The record is from RNAcentral.
AUAAAUCUGCCACCGGGUAGAGAAUGCAUAAUGAAGCAUUCGCGCGUUUCGUUAGGUCUUUGAAGAAACGCACGGGUGCUUUUUUGUUUG